CCCAAAAUAGCUAAUUUAGAAGAGCGUUAGACUGAAGAUCUAAAGGUCUCUGGUUUAAUCCCGGGUUUCGGCA
This 73-nucleotide transfer RNA is filed under the name Cordylochernes scorpioides. Its description in RNAcentral is "tRNA-Phe". It matches the Rfam family "tRNA". From Rfam's summary of the family: Transfer RNA (tRNA) molecules are approximately 80 nucleotides in length. Their secondary structure includes four short double-helical elements and three loops (D, anti-codon, and T loops). Lineage: Eukaryota; Metazoa; Arthropoda; Arachnida; Pseudoscorpiones; Chernetidae. The record is from RNAcentral.